UCAGGGCCGCGCGUACGCAGCCCCACACACAAAAAUUUAGCUGUUGGCGAAUCUCAGUUCGAGACUGCCACACGGGUCAGCCCGGGCGAAAGUGCAAUGCGCGGGCCUCACCAUGGGGGUUCCGCCUUGAUGAUCGCGAGACGCCCCCAGCCAGGUAAGUUU
Molecule: small nuclear RNA, 162 nt
Filed under: Ancylostoma duodenale
Lineage: Eukaryota; Metazoa; Nematoda; Chromadorea; Rhabditida; Ancylostomatidae
Description: U1 spliceosomal RNA
Source: RNAcentral